Poeciliopsis prolifica (blackstripe livebearer) is the source of this 704-nucleotide long non-coding RNA. RefSeq lists it as uncharacterized. The record is from RefSeq and is a predicted model, not a curated record. The transcript has 2 exons. NCBI's taxonomy places the organism in Eukaryota, Metazoa, Chordata, Actinopteri, Cyprinodontiformes, Poeciliidae.
CCCCACACACACUACAGGUUCAACAUAACGGGAGUGUAACCUUUACUAUCUAAGCUUUGUUUUGUCAUUUAAAGCAGCUACAUAAUACGGCCUUGAUUAUGCAAAUUUACACUUUAAUUUCUUUGAAAAAUCCGUGCAUUAAAUUGAAUCAAGUCUAUCAAACAGGAGGCAUCUUGUUUCUGCUGUGUGAAAAUAUAUCAGCGCUGCCCCCAACAGUUGUGGAGAGGAACUGCACGUGCUGUGCCUGACCGCUUUUCCAUUGGCCACAGAGUCACGCAAAUCGGAACAGAAACAUGACAAUUAUUGAUACUUUUUUUGCACUGGCCUUAUCGAAAUGUUCAAAACAAAGCUUUUUUUUCGCAUUGCACCAGUCACGUGAUCAAUAACCGGAUGUCAAUACUGACGGAAAAGAAGCAGCGGAGAACAACAGGAAGUGGUCGGAGGACAAUGGCCUGCGACAGACUGGCGUCCUGUCCAGGGUGUGCCCCGCCUCUCGCCCGGAACGCAGCUGGAGAUAGGCACCAGCACCUCCCAACCCCGUUAGGGAGAAGGGUGCUCAGAAAAUGGAUGGACGGAUGGAUUUAAUGGAAACGCAGCAAUUUCAAAAUUGUGUUUCUUCCAACGUCAGCGGAAUGUAGAAAACAUUUCACCAACAUUUCCAAUUCUGAUUUAGCUACAGUAGAAAUAAAUUGUGUAAAACACAA